This 72-nucleotide transfer RNA is filed under the name Trichobilharzia regenti. It matches the Rfam family "tRNA". Rfam says of the family: Transfer RNA (tRNA) molecules are approximately 80 nucleotides in length. Lineage: Eukaryota; Metazoa; Platyhelminthes; Trematoda; Strigeidida; Schistosomatidae. The record is from Rfam by way of RNAcentral.
GCGUUGGUGGUUCAGUGGUAGAACAGUAGUCAACCAAGCAUAUGGUCCGGGGUUCGGUUCCCCGCCGAGGCA